AUUACGGUAAUUGCACUCGGAAGCCCACGAAUAGCCCCGUUGUUUCUGGGGAUGAAAGAGAGCGGUGAAAGAUAACAUUUACAAGAGCAAGAAAAGAAUAAAGUUGUCAGCAAAACGACCCUCCCGUGUGAUAAAACCUCCAUGGAGAUUUAGAGAGGUUUUGAAACCAAAGGAGCAACUUCUGGCGAGGAAAGACUCGCUGUGCCACCCUGCAGGAGAGGCCUAUGACCCGUCAGUAGUUCCAGGAGGAGCUUACUGCACACCUCCUUGGGGUUGACUUGAAAGGUGGCCUUCAGAAGACCCCAGGUCAGCACCUACCUGUCCCCACAAGCAACUGACAGACCAAAGGGCAUAGAGCCAGCAUGGGGCGACGGCGCUACAAUCUCUGCACCAAGAGCACUCCCUGGAAGUGUGAGACCUGUGAUGUGGGCCUGUGUUUGUAGCCAGACAGAAACUGUCACUGGCAGUACCACCAAGGACUUUCAGGAGGCAGGGAGGAGGGAAUUGCCCUGUAUAAUAAAAAACGCCUGUACAUAGUUUACAUUUUAUGCACUGUUUUUGCACAUUUAGAGACAAAGAAUCAGAAAUUUUAUUGUAAAUAGUUUUAUACUUGUCAGAUUUAAAAUUUUAACAUACAAAACCUGUUGUUCAUGUUCAAUUGCAUUGUUUUUCCUACUAAAACUCUUAAAAUCAAA
This is a long non-coding RNA of Scatophagus argus, 695 nucleotides long. RefSeq lists it as uncharacterized. NCBI's taxonomy places the organism in Eukaryota, Metazoa, Chordata, Actinopteri, Scatophagidae. The record is from RefSeq and is a predicted model, not a curated record. The transcript is spliced from 2 exons.